Long non-coding RNA from Homo sapiens (human), 904 nucleotides. Ensembl annotates it as long intergenic non-protein coding RNA 2369. The record is from Ensembl. NCBI's taxonomy places the organism in Eukaryota, Metazoa, Chordata, Mammalia, Primates, Hominidae.
GCAGCUUCCACCGGGCCUCUUGGGCUGUGUACUCUUGACACUCUUGCUCUGAGAACUAAGCAGGCAUAUUUCAUAUCAAAAUAGUAAAGAACUUCCUUUCCAAAGGCAGGACUUGCUUCUGUGAGGUACUGAGCCACCCGUCCCUGGAGGAAAGCAAGAACAGAGCAGAUCAGAGCCCAGGCAGACAUCUUGGAUGAUGGGGUACAUCUUGCCAUCCAGAGGCAAUGCUGGAGCGGGCAGUUGUCUGCGGGGAGGCCCUGGCUCACUCUGGGCCAAAUAACAGGACUGAUUGCAGCCUGCGAUGAAACAUCCUGUUUCUCCCAACCAGAAACAGGUAGAGGAGAGAAGAGCCCCAGUGAGAGAGUGAAGCAGAUGAAAAGAUAACAUGAAAACCAACCAAGCAACGAACAGACAAACAAAAUAACCCAUUUCAAGUUCUCGGAGCCUGGUCUCAUUUCCAGCCGGAAAUUACUGCUGCAGACUGCAGGGUGCUCCCUGCACUCCCUGUGUAUAUGAUCUAGUGGUUGCUAAUGUCUUUAGAGAGAGAAAGACGUACACUGUUAUGAGGUGAGUCCCCAGGAGUCAGGAAUUUACCUGUGCCCUGGGGCAGGCACUGCCCUGGGGAGAGGAAGGAACUUCCUCAUUAAUUCAUUCCACAGGGAUGGAUGCUGCCCUCAGCCUCUGCAGGGAGCUGUUCUGCGUGCUGGAGGUGGAGACGCCAGUGCCUCUGAGGGCCUCCUUUUUCUGACAGAGCUUGCAGAGAAGGCAGACAUGAAAUGGAUGGUCACAGAUGGGGUGGAGGUUACAGAAGGGGAUGCAUAGACAGCCAGGGAGUGCUUAGGGCUUGAAUGAGGGGAAUUGCAGAGGUGAGAAAAAGGGAACAGAUUCCAAAGAUAUGAAGAAA